RNAcentral lists this ribosomal RNA (473 nucleotides) under uncultured Fusarium. RNAcentral describes it as "SSU rRNA". It matches the Rfam family "Eukaryotic small subunit ribosomal RNA", at positions 244 to 716 of the family's 1831-position model. The record is from RNAcentral. Lineage: Eukaryota; Fungi; Ascomycota; Sordariomycetes; Hypocreales; Nectriaceae.
UGGUGAUUCAUGAUAACUUCUCGAAUCGCAUGGCCUUGCGCCGGCGAUGGUUCAUUCAAAUUUCUUCCCUAUCAACUUUCGAUGUUUGGGUAUUGGCCAAACAUGGUUGCAACGGGUAACGGAGGGUUAGGGCUCGACCCCGGAGAAGGAGCCUGAGAAACGGCUACUACAUCCAAGGAAGGCAGCAGGCGCGCAAAUUACCCAAUCCCGACUCGGGGAGGUAGUGACAAUAAAUACUGAUACAGGGCUCUUUUGGGUCUUGUAAUUGGAAUGAGUACAAUUUAAAUCCCUUAACGAGGAACAAUUGGAGGGCAAGUCUGGUGCCAGCAGCCGCGGUAAUUCCAGCUCCAAUAGCGUAUAUUAAAGUUGUUGUGGUUAAAAAGCUCGUAGUUGAACCUUGGGCCUGGCUGGCCGGUCCGCCUCACCGCGUGUACUGGUCCGGCCGGGCCUUUCCCUCUGUGGAACCCCAUGCC